This 99-nucleotide non-coding RNA is filed under the name bovine gut metagenome. Its description in RNAcentral is "Pyrrolysine insertion sequence mttB". It matches the Rfam family "Pyrrolysine insertion sequence mttB". The record is from RNAcentral.
UAGACCGACGCCAAAGUCCCCGACUCCCAGGCAGCACACGAGAAGACCAUCACUUCACUUCUCCCCGCAAUGGCCGGAGUCAACAUGAUCUACGGAUCC